This 75-nucleotide transfer RNA is filed under the name Anaerolineae bacterium CG2_30_58_95. RNAcentral's name for it is "tRNA-Lys". It matches the Rfam family "tRNA". From Rfam's summary of the family: Transfer RNA (tRNA) molecules are approximately 80 nucleotides in length. The record is from RNAcentral. Lineage: Bacteria; Bacillati; Chloroflexota; Anaerolineae.
GGGCGUGUAGCUCAACGGUAGAGCAGUGGCCUUUUAAGCCAUUGGUUGAGAGUUCGAGCCUCUCCACGCUCACCU